CUCGAAUCCUCAUGGUGAAGGGUCUGCAGGACCCACAGCAAAGCCGAGUGCACACAGCAGUGUCCUCCACUGCAAGAGUCCUUAUCAUGAAAACAGAGGGCAGAGAAACAGCAUCUCACCACUCGACCCUAAUCCUGAGAGCUAAGCUGCCGACAAACCUCACCGAUCCCGUGCCACAGAGUCUGUUGGACACAAACAGACGUCACGAAAGUUAUUCAGUGUUGGGGUUAAAAGACACAGGAUCCAGAACCAAAGUUCCAGAAGUAAAAAGUCACAUCUAUUUCCUUUGUAUUUUGAUGCUGUGCAAAUCAUGUAACUUUUCUAGGCCUUUGGUAAAUGGUGAUAACUAUAGCUCCUACAUAUUAUAAAGUUUCUGAGGGAUUAGAUGCAUUAAUAUGUGUAUUACACUGAGGAACAAAGCUUGGAAAAUAGUGCUUAAUAAAGGUUUGCCAUUGAGUAUUGUUGCAGAUUAUAUUCAAGAUCAUAGAACACACAGUUCCUAAGACAUUUAUAUUUUGGUUUACUAGUAAACCUCACCUAGAAAAAUUAGAGUAAUUUGUUAGCAAGAAAUGUUGUUUUACCAUUUCAGACUUUUGUGAAUUAGUUAUUUGUUCAUGUCAUUAAGUAAACUGGAAGCACAGUUUUACCUGUUAAGAGUCUUUGA
Odocoileus virginianus texanus is the source of this 664-nucleotide non-coding RNA. The record is from RefSeq and is a predicted model, not a curated record. Lineage: Eukaryota; Metazoa; Chordata; Mammalia; Artiodactyla; Cervidae.